GGAGGAAGGUGGGGACGACGUCAAGUCAUCAUGGCCCUUACGAGUAGGGCUACACACGUGCUACAAUGGCGCAUACAGAGGGCAGCCAACUUGCGAAAGUGAGCGAAUCCCAAAAAGUGCGUCGUAGGCCGGAUUGGAGUCUGCAACUCGACUCCAUGAAGUCGGAAUCGCUAGUAAUCGUGGAUCAGAAUGCCACGGUGAAUACGUUCCC
This 211-nucleotide ribosomal RNA is filed under the name Vibrio parahaemolyticus. Its description in RNAcentral is "partial 16S ribosomal RNA". It matches the Rfam family "Bacterial small subunit ribosomal RNA", at positions 1165 to 1375 of the family's 1533-position model. The record is from RNAcentral. Lineage: Bacteria; Pseudomonadati; Pseudomonadota; Gammaproteobacteria; Vibrionales; Vibrionaceae.